UACAGAGGGUGCAAGCGUUAAUCGGAAUUACUGGGCGUAAAGCGCGCGUAGGUGGUUUGUUAAGUUGGAUGUGAAAGCCCCGGGCUCAACCUGGGAACUGCAUUCAAAACUGACAAGCUAGAGUAUGGUAGAGGGUGGUGGAAUUUCCUGUGUAGCGGUGAAAUGCGUAGAUAUCUGAAGGAACAUCAGUGGCGAAAGCGACUUCCUGGACGAAUACUGACGCUCAUGUGCGAAAGCGUGGGGAGCAAACAGG
RNAcentral lists this ribosomal RNA (253 nucleotides) under uncultured bacterium. RNAcentral describes it as "partial 16S ribosomal RNA". It matches the Rfam family "Bacterial small subunit ribosomal RNA", at positions 524 to 776 of the family's 1533-position model. The record is from RNAcentral.